GCUCUAAGGGUUCACUCAGAUUCGCCUUGGCUCGACGGAGAAGAAGCAAACCAGACGAGAGAUGAGGGCAGCAGCCCAAGCCGGAGCGUCGAAUUCACGAGCUCUGGAAGCAACGGCCGCGCCAGAUUUAGCGCAGGUAGCGGAAGUUCCGAUGCCUUGUCCAGAUGAAGCCGCGGCCCGUCUCUCCGAUUCGCCACCAUCGCCUGUGUCAUGGAAACAGGUCAUAUGAUAACCAAGAGGAACAACUGACACAUGAGGAUUCCCAUGUGCGCGGAUCAGAAUCACCCCAGUCGACACGUGUAUGGAAGAAGAGGGCCGGGUCUUGCUAAAUAGCGGCGGAUUGAUCGAGAAGCAUACAAGCAAGAUCUACAUUCUUGUAUAAUAUUUUCGAGGUACAGAUUUUUCUAUCUGCUUCAUAUACUGCGCAAGAGAUCAUUUGGGGGACAAGGUAUAUUGGUGUUCACUUCGAGGCGGAGAAGAGGGAGAGGUGGUCCUACCGGCAUUUGAGGUUCAGGUUGAUAUGGCAACAAACUUUUUCCAAUGCGACUGUGGGAUAUAUGAGCAUAUGGGUAUGAUAUGUUACCAUGUUAUCCAGGUCUGAUCCUCCUUGGGAAGAACCGAAAUACCAUCUAGCAAGAGCCAAACCUGGUUAUGGGGUUAGUGUGUCAAGGACUCAUUUUUGCUCUGUGUGCCGCAGCAGGGCACAUAACGCUGGGGGAUGCCCCUCUGUUGAGAGAAGCUCUAAGAAGCCUAGGCGGGAGGCAAGGUGUUCUAACUGUGGCAUUGUUGGACAUAAGAAGAAUGUAUGUUUAUCACGGGGUUAUAUGAUGAUGAAUGAGUGAAAUAUCUUGGGGUCUCUUUCCAGCCAAACACAUCUCGUGUUCAAUUUUUUUUCCGGUCCAUCAGACACCAUCUGAACUCUUCAUUGGCUGACCAGAUCAGCUAUGUAAUAAUAUUUAGAUGUUAGGCACCAACUGGAUGUGAUUCCUGUUUUACUGGGCUGAUGGGUACCAUAAUUUUGCAUGCUUGAAGCUAGUUAUGUCAGUAUGAAGUCAAUGAAAAUGGG
Molecule: long non-coding RNA, 1066 nt
Organism: Lolium rigidum
Lineage: Eukaryota; Viridiplantae; Streptophyta; Magnoliopsida; Poales; Poaceae
Exons: 6
Source: RefSeq, a predicted model, not a curated record